This 423-nucleotide ribosomal RNA is filed under the name uncultured bacterium. RNAcentral describes it as "bacterial SSU rRNA". It matches the Rfam family "Bacterial small subunit ribosomal RNA", at positions 207 to 622 of the family's 1533-position model. The record is from RNAcentral.
AAGACCUUGCGCUUUUGGAGCGGCCGAUGUCUGAUUAGCUUGUUGGUGAGGUAAAGGCUUACCAAGGCUUCGAUCAGUAGCUGGUCUGAGAGGACGGCCAGCCACACUGGGACUGAGACACGGCCCAGACUCCUACGGGAGGCAGCAGUGGGGAAUUUUGGACAAUGGGGGCAACCCUGAUCCAGCCAUGCCGCGUGAGUGAAGAAGGCCUUCGGGUUGUAAAGCUCUUUCAGCCGGAACGAAACGGUUACGGUUAAUACCCGUGACUACUGACAGUACCGGAAGAAGAAGCACCGGCUAACUACGUGCCAGCAGCCGCGGUAAUACGUAGGGUGCAAGCGUUAAUCGGAAUUACUGGGCGUAAAGCGUGCGCAGGUGGUUUUGUAAGUCAGAUGUGAAAUCCCCGGGCUUAACCUGGGAACU